GCCAGUGUGGUGUAGUGGUUUGAGUGUUGGACUACAACUCUGGAGACCAGGGUUCGAUUCCCAGGUUGGCC
Phrynosoma platyrhinos (Desert horned lizard) is the source of this 71-nucleotide non-coding RNA. The record is from the annotation of a GenBank genome assembly. Lineage: Eukaryota; Metazoa; Chordata; Lepidosauria; Squamata; Phrynosomatidae.